CCCUUAGAUGUCCUGGGCCGCACGCGCGCUACACUGAUGCAUUCAACGAGUUUUACCUUGGCCGAGAGGCCUGGGCAAUCUUUUAAACCUGCAUCGUGAUAGGGAUAGAUUAUUGCAAUUAUUAAUCUUGAACGAGGAAUUCCUAGUAAACGCAAAUCAUCAAUUUGCAUUGAUUACGUCCCUGCCCUUUGUACACACCGCCCGUCGCACCUACCGAUUGAAUGAUCCGGUGAACCCCUCGGAUCGGGGACGGUGCCCGUCGGUCUCCGGCGGGCCAGCCCUCGAAAAGUUGGGUAAACCUUAUCAUUUAGAGGAAGGAGAAGUCGUAACA
RNAcentral lists this ribosomal RNA (331 nucleotides) under uncultured eukaryote. RNAcentral's name for it is "partial 18S ribosomal RNA". It matches the Rfam family "Eukaryotic small subunit ribosomal RNA", at positions 1470 to 1796 of the family's 1831-position model. The record is from RNAcentral.